AAUGAACGCUGGCGGCGUGCUUAACACAUGCAAGUCGAACGAGAAAGCACCUUCGGGUGUGAGUAGAGUGGCGCACGGGUGAGUAACACGUAGGUAACCUGCCCAUUGAUGGGGGAUAACCAGGAGAAAUUCUGGCUAAUACCGCAUAAGUUGGUAACAAGAAAGGAUGCUUCGGCAUUCGUCGAUGGAUGGGCCUGCGGGACAUUAGCUUGAUGGUGGGGUAAUGGCCUACCAUGGCUACGAUGUCUAGCUGGUCUGAGAGGAUGAUCAGCCACACUGGAACUGAGACACGGUCCAGACUCCUACGGGAGGCAGCAGUGGGGAAUAUUGCGCAAUGGGGGAAACCCUGACGCAGCAACGCCGCGUGAGUGAGGAAGGCCUUCGGGUUGUAAAGCUCUGUCAGAUGGGAAGAAUGGUUAUUGGUCUAAUAGGCCUUUAAUUUGACGGUACCAUCAAAGGAAGCACCGGCUAACUUCGUGCCAGCCGCCGCCGUAACAC
RNAcentral lists this ribosomal RNA (498 nucleotides) under uncultured bacterium. RNAcentral describes it as "bacterial SSU rRNA". It matches the Rfam family "Bacterial small subunit ribosomal RNA", at positions 29 to 526 of the family's 1533-position model. The record is from RNAcentral.